UACGUAGGUGGCAAGCGUUGUCCGGAUUUACUGGGCGUAAAGAGCGCGCAGGCGGUCGAAUAAGUCGAAUGUGAAAGCCCCCGGCUUAACUGGGGAGGGUCAUUCGAUACUGCUCGACUUGAAGGCAGGAGAGGGUAGUGGAAUUCCCGGUGUAGUGGUGAAAUGCGUAGAUAUCGGGAGGAACACCAGUGGCGAAGGCGGUCUCCUGGGGCAUUCUUGACGCUGAGGCGCGAAAGCGUGGGGAGCGAACAGG
This 253-nucleotide ribosomal RNA is filed under the name uncultured bacterium. Its description in RNAcentral is "partial 16S ribosomal RNA". It matches the Rfam family "Bacterial small subunit ribosomal RNA", at positions 524 to 776 of the family's 1533-position model. The record is from RNAcentral.